RNAcentral lists this non-coding RNA (215 nucleotides) under Flavonifractor plautii. RNAcentral's name for it is "T-box sequence". It matches the Rfam family "T-box leader". Rfam says of the family: Uncharged tRNA acts as the effector for transcription antitermination of genes in the T-box leader family. T-boxes are found upstream of many aminoacyl-tRNA synthetase genes and some amino acid biosynthetic genes usually in Gram-positive bacteria. The anticodon of a specific tRNA base pairs to a specifier sequence within the T-box motif, and the NCCA acceptor tail of the tRNA base pairs to a conserved bulge in the T-box antiterminator hairpin. The record is from RNAcentral. Lineage: Bacteria; Bacillati; Bacillota; Clostridia; Eubacteriales; Oscillospiraceae.
UACACAGCGACGAAGGGAAGGAGUACCCGCGCGGGCGGUGCAGAGAGGGGCCGGAUGGUGCAAGGCCCUCCGGCGGCGCGGGGAAGGUCGUCCCGGAGCUCCGGGCCUGAAUACAGUAGGGCCCGGCGGGUUCUCCCGUUAGCGAGACAAGAGCGCCUCCAUGGCUUCAUGGGGGAAUUCAGGUGGUACCGCGGACUUACGGGUUCGCCCUGAGC